GAUGAACGCUAGCUACAGGCUUAACACAUGCAAGUCGAGGGGUAACGAGAGGGAAGCUUGCUUUCCUUGUCGACGACCGGCGCACGGGUGAGUAACGCGUAUCCAACCUGCCCCCAACUAGGGAAUAACCUUGCGAAAGUAAGACUAAUACCCUAUAAUUUCCUCAGAUGUCAUCUGACGAGGAAUAAAGAUUUAUCGGUUGUGGAUGGGGAUACGUCUGAUUAGCUUGUUGGCGGUGUACGGCCCACCAAGGCAACGAUCAGUAGGGGUUCUGAGAGGAAGGUCCCCCACAUUGGAACUGAGACACGGUCCAAACUCCUACGGGAGGCAGCAGUGAGGAAUAUUGGUCAAUGGGCGGAAGCCUGAACCAGCCAAGUAGCGUGCAGGAUGACGGCCCUAUUGGUUGUAAACUGCUUUUAUACAGGAAUAAAGUUAGCCACGUGUGGUUAUUUGUAGGUACUGUAUGAAUAAGGACCGGCUAAUUCCGUGCCAGCCGCCGCAGUAA
Molecule: ribosomal RNA, 505 nt
Filed under: uncultured bacterium
Lineage: Bacteria
Description: partial 16S ribosomal RNA
Rfam family: Bacterial small subunit ribosomal RNA
Source: RNAcentral